RNAcentral lists this transfer RNA (74 nucleotides) under Lactobacillus johnsonii. RNAcentral's name for it is "tRNA-Met". It matches the Rfam family "tRNA". Rfam says of the family: Transfer RNA (tRNA) molecules are approximately 80 nucleotides in length. Their secondary structure includes four short double-helical elements and three loops (D, anti-codon, and T loops). The record is from RNAcentral. Lineage: Bacteria; Bacillati; Bacillota; Bacilli; Lactobacillales; Lactobacillaceae.
CGCGGGAUGGAGCAGUUUGGUAGCUCGUCGGGCUCAUAACCCGAAGGUCAUAGGUUCAAAUCCUAUUCCCGCAA